GGGGCUGAUUCUGGAUUCGACGGGAUUUGCGAAACCCAAGGUGCAUGCCGAGGUGCGGAGGCCUCGUAAAAAACCGCAAAAAAAAUAAUUGCAAACGACUCGCAAUACGAAUCUGCUGCUGCUUUAGCAGCUUAAUCAGCCUAAGAAACUGAAGAUUCCCUCUCUCCCUAGCCUCCGCUCUUAGGACGGGGAUCAAGAGAGGUCAAACCUAAAAGAGAUCGCGUGGACACCUUGCCUGGGGUGAAAGCGUUAAAUCCAAUCAGGAUAGUUUGUUAGUGGCGUGUCCGUCCGCAGCUAACCGGCGAAUGUAAUGACUGGACUAAGCAUGUAGUGCCAACGGCGUAGUAAUUUCGGACGGGGGUUCAAAUCCCCCCAGCUCCACCA
RNAcentral lists this transfer-messenger RNA (384 nucleotides) under Yersinia aleksiciae. RNAcentral describes it as "Standard tmRNA". It matches the Rfam family "transfer-messenger RNA". Rfam says of the family: Bacterial tmRNA, also known as 10Sa RNA or SsrA, is named for its dual tRNA and mRNA-like properties. Lineage: Bacteria; Pseudomonadati; Pseudomonadota; Gammaproteobacteria; Enterobacterales; Yersiniaceae. The record is from RNAcentral.